RNAcentral lists this non-coding RNA (28 nucleotides) under Rattus norvegicus (Norway rat). The record is from RNAcentral. Lineage: Eukaryota; Metazoa; Chordata; Mammalia; Rodentia; Muridae.
UCCCAACUGUGUCACUGGUAGGGCCUGC